CGCCCACCGCGCCCCGCGCCCGUCCCGCCGCCCCCGCCCGCCUAACGGGAGGCAGCAGUGGGGAAUAUUGGACAAUGGGCGAAAGCCUGAUCCAGCCAUGCCGCGUGUGUGAAGAAGGUCUUCGGAUUGUAAAGCACUUUAAGUUGGGAGGAAGGGCAGUAAGUUAAUACCUUGCUGUUUUGACGUUACCGACAGAAUAAGCACCGGCUAACUCUGUGCCAGCAGCCGCGGUAAUANCAGAGGGUGCAAGCGUUAAUCGGAAUUACUGGGCGUAAAGCGCGCGUAGGUGGUUCGUUAAGUUGGAUGUGAAAGCCCCGGGCUCAACCUGGGAACUGCAUCCAAAACUGGCGAGCUAGAGUAUGGUAGAGGGUGGUGGAAUUUCCUGUGUAGCGGUGAAAUGCGUAGAUAUAGGAAGGAACACCAGUGGCGAAGGCGACCACCUGGACUGAUACUGACACUGAGGUGCGAAAGCGUGGGGAGCAAACAGGAUUAGAUACCCCUGGUAGUCCACGCCGUAAACGAUGUCAACUAGCCGUUGGAAUUCCUUGAGAUUUUAGUGGCGCAGCUAACAGCAUUAAGUUGACCGCCCUGGGGAGUACAGGCCGGCACGGU
RNAcentral lists this ribosomal RNA (612 nucleotides) under bacterium CC-1 ASCBAC. Its description in RNAcentral is "bacterial SSU rRNA". It matches the Rfam family "Bacterial small subunit ribosomal RNA", at positions 305 to 895 of the family's 1533-position model. The record is from RNAcentral.